Molecule: unclassified non-coding RNA, 274 nt
Filed under: Hevea brasiliensis (rubber tree)
Lineage: Eukaryota; Viridiplantae; Streptophyta; Magnoliopsida; Malpighiales; Euphorbiaceae
Source: RNAcentral
GAAAUACAUUCUUACCGCUCUCAUUAAUAGAAAACCAACCAAAGUGCUCAACUAUAAAACAUCUUUUGAACUAUUUUCAACAAGUUACCUACUUUUUAGCGCCUCCAUGUCUUUGGUUGUUUAUGUUUUGUACGUAAUGUUCACAUUAAACAUAAGUUUGGUUUGGGAUUUUUAUUAGUUAUCCAUAUGGUAAAAAGGUUACAAAACCUUUUUUUCUUCACACUCAAAAGGUUUGAGUUGUGACUACAUGAUCAAGAAACCAAAAGACAAUUUG